GGAUUCGUAAUUCAAUUGGUAGAACACGGCCACUUGACAUGUUUAGGGGCUGUAUGUGGGUUCGAGUCCCAUCGAGCCCA
Molecule: non-coding RNA, 80 nt
Organism: Pyronema omphalodes
Lineage: Eukaryota; Fungi; Ascomycota; Pezizomycetes; Pezizales; Pyronemataceae
Source: the annotation of a GenBank genome assembly